This 304-nucleotide unclassified non-coding RNA is filed under the name Hevea brasiliensis (rubber tree). The record is from RNAcentral. Lineage: Eukaryota; Viridiplantae; Streptophyta; Magnoliopsida; Malpighiales; Euphorbiaceae.
GGGCGGCGGCAAUAUGUACUUUCGCGAGCGUCCAGGCGCGUUCAGCCGGCCCGCUUGAUACUGCUGAAUAUGGAAAGCCUAACCCGCAGCCGAGACCUAUCGAUUCCGACUCAGAGUCGACAAGGGAGGCAGAGGUCUCCCAGAAGUCCCUACCUGCGAAGUGGUGCCUGAUUUUCUCAGUCUUUCUGCCUUUCGCCGCGGGUUACUACCUUGCCUACCUGUUUAGGACGAUCAAUGCCGCGAUAUCGCCGGCAUUGGCCUCCGACUUCGGGAUUGACGCCGCAGAGAUCGGGCUGCUCGCGUC